AACGAACGCUGGCGGCAGGCUUAACACAUGCAAGUCGAACGCUCCGCAAGGAGAGCGGCAGACGGGUGAGUAACACGUGGGAACGUACCCUCUACUACGGAACAACUCCGGGAAACUGGAGCUAAUACCGUAUGUGCCCAUCGGUGGAAAGAUUUAUCGGUAAAGGAUCGGCCCGCGUUGGAUUAGCUAGUUGGUGGGGUAAAGGCCUACCAAGGUGACGAGCCAUAGCUGGUAUGAGAGGAUGAUCAGCCACAUUGGGACUUAGACACGGCCCAAACUCCUACGGGAGGCAGCAGUGGGGAAUAUUGGACAAUGGGCGCAAGCCUGAUCCAGCCAUGCCGCGUGUGUGAUGAAGGCCUUAGGGUUGUAAAGCACUUUCACCGGAGAAGAUAAUGACGGUAUCCGGAGAAGAAGCCCCGGCUAACUUCGUGCCAGCCGCCGCGGUAA
This 447-nucleotide ribosomal RNA is filed under the name uncultured bacterium. Its description in RNAcentral is "partial 16S ribosomal RNA". It matches the Rfam family "Bacterial small subunit ribosomal RNA", at positions 29 to 523 of the family's 1533-position model. The record is from RNAcentral.